Alexandromys fortis (reed vole) is the source of this 2938-nucleotide long non-coding RNA. RefSeq lists it as uncharacterized. NCBI's taxonomy places the organism in Eukaryota, Metazoa, Chordata, Mammalia, Rodentia, Cricetidae. The record is from RefSeq and is a predicted model, not a curated record. The transcript has 5 exons.
AUGGUGUGGGAAGAAUUCCAAGUGAGCUGCUCAUAAAUGUCGUCCACAAUUUUAGACACCUGGAAGAAGAAUUUUUGUAGGUCAGCAAAGUGUCACCUUCUUUGUUUACCUUUAAGCCUAGCCAUGUCUUGGUUUUAUGAACUCAACCUUUUUUGGAAGGACCAAUGUAGCAAUUAGCAUACAAAUAAGCAAUAGCUGAAAGUGUAUUUAUAUAAUUACAAUGCAAAAUAUUUAAGGUCAGGAACUAUGAAGUCAUGUAGUUGUGGAAAUUGGGGGAAAUAGCUUUAAAAACGUAGCUUAGUUGAGGCAAUAAAUUGCCAAACCGUACUUCUGUUCUGUUUCUCUUUGGCUAGUAAUUUGCUGUAGUAGAAGCUAGUUUUACACCCCUGGGUUUCUUUUUGACUUUCCUUCCUGCCUCCAGUGAUAUGCUGUGGCUUUUUCUAGGCUCUCUGAGUGCUUUCUCCUGUUGGAGAACUCCGUCUGGUUAAGGAGAUGACCACAGACCUCCCAUUUCCCUCAGGUUGUGUUUGCUCUAUGGAAUGUCUUGCCCACAGCAGCUCUGAGAACUCUCUAUGAUGCGGUCCUUUAUCUGGCCUGCUCUCUGAAUUUGAAUGACUCUCCUUGUCUACCUUCUUUCCCAGUACAUGAUUAUAUCAGGAGAGGAAACUGUGAGUCUCAUGUGUCCAUCAUUGUCAGGACUGUCUUCAUGGGUCUGUGACCUAAGGGUCUGUAUGAGGAUCCAUGUUCAGAUCCUCUCAGUCUCGUCUAAAACUUAGAUUUUUUUUUCAUUUUAAAGUUUUGCAGUUUUUGAGAUUGGGCAUUAUAAUUCAAUCCCAAUGGGACAAGUACAGGGUAUCCUUGUAAUAUUGUGAGAUUUGCAUGGUUCCUGGUGCUGAACAAUUCUAUAUUCUGUCAAUUAUAUUUUAAAUAAAGGCUGAUUGGCCAAUAGUCAGGCAGGAAGUAUAGGUGGGAAAACCAGACAGGAAGUAAAGGUGGGAUAAUGAGAACAGUAGUAUUCUGGAAAGAAGGAAGCUCUUUCCGCAGUCCUGUCCAGACACCGAAGAAGCAGGAUGUGACCUGCCCCACCAAAAAAGGUACAAAGCCAUGUGGCUAACAUAGAUAAGAAUAAUGGGUUAAUACAAGUUAUAAGAGCUAAUUUGAAGCCUGAGCUAAUGGGCCAAUCAGUUUGUAACUUAUGUAGACCUCUGUGUGAUUUUCUUUGGGACCUAACGACUGUGGGAACUAGGCAGGACAGAAACCUCAACCAGCAAGCCCUCAUGUUACAAGUUCCUGCAUCCCCAGUUACUUGUAAUGGUCAUUGUGCUUCUUCAUGUGCAUAGGAUUGCCAUAAUUUGUGGAAGUCCAGUGGGAAAACAAACUGGAUACCAGAGGCAUUUAACUGCAACCACUUAGCUGGAAAAUGAUGGCAUAGAAAGGAAGAGGUGUGUUUUUUUGAUAAGGUGUGUUUGAGCCUAAAGGCUAAACAAAGGAGCCCCAGGAAUCCACCUGUCUCAGGUGAAUAUCUAUAACUCAGGACUAGAGUUACAGGCAUAUUUCAUUGUACUUGGCAUUUAUCUAGGUAUCAAAAUCAGGUCUGCAUCAUUGGCCAGCAAGCAUUUUACCCACAGUCAUUUCAUCAGUCUGAGAUAUGAGGCCUUUAAGAGAUGACUACGUCUUGGGCAUCAGUGCUUCUGAGGUUACUAUGGUUAUCCCUAGGAGUGGGUUCCUUGCUCUUGGGGUAGGUGUAUGAUUAGAGAAUGAGUUUGGCCCUUUCUUCUUUGUCUUGCAAUGUUCUCUUGCCUUUCCUACUUCUCCCAGGGGAUGACACAGCAAGAGCUAUGGGUUUCACAGAAUCAAACACUGUAAGAAAUGAACCUCUAUUCACUAUAAACUGUCCAUUCUAAAUGUAUUCUGCUUUUGUAAUACAACAGCAAUUUAUUUAUUUUCAAUCUUUCCUUAUUUGUCAGGACACUGAAGACAGAAAAUUCUAAUAAGAUAUGUGGAUGACAAUGAGUGAAAUAAAAACACUCGUUGCCAACUACAUCACCAUGGUGAUCUUCUGAGCAUGAUAUUCCAAAGUCAGCGUCAGUAAGGACGCGGCCUCCGAGGCUGUCUCAUCAUCAGGAGAGGAAAGUUUCUUCAGGAGGGUCCACACAAAGUCAGUCAGAAAGGUCUGAGGUCCAAGACAGCAGACUGCACCCAGCCCUCCACUGCUAGCCUACAGCUGCUCAACAAACCAGUGAGGGAUCAUAACCUUGGAAAGCUGUGGAGGAAACCCCAAGUACUACUGUGGCUGGGGGAGGCAGGUGUGAUUAGGUGAGCUCUGGAGUCCUGGGACAAUGAGAGAUGUGGAACUAAGUGACCCCAGCUGGCUCACCAACCCUCAACGUGAAACAUUGCCUUCUUGGAGUUCAGAACAUAUUCACCAUAUCAAUCCAGCCCUGCCAUCCAACACACCUGUGAAAAUGCAAGAUUGUUCCUCUAAGUCACUGAGGUGGCCCCUGCCCUGGCUUGAUUCUGUGUACUGGUCAGCAGUACCAAAUAAGGAGGAAGGUGGAGAGAGCAAAGGACGAAGUCUAUGUCUUGGAGUCCACAGUAUGUCUUCUCUUGGACGGCAUCUCAGCAGCACUGAUUUCAGUGUUCAGAUGGACCGUAUAUAUGAGCCCCAAUAAAACUGCGCACAUUGCUGUGUGUGGUGUACCUCUAAUUUCAAAUUCUCCUCAUAUUCACUUAAGAAAAACUCUCUGAUGCUUGCCUGGCAGGGGAGAUACCCGGGUACCCUGGGCACACUGACUCUUGUAAUUGCUCCAGAUAUGGGAAACUCAAUGGCAUAAUUUGUGGUGAUGAGGAUCAGGACUUGAUUUUUUUUUUCCUCUAAAUAAAUUAAUUAAAUAAAAAGAAAAGAAAGCAAGUCCGGAAUCUGGAUUGUAAACAGGAA